AGUUGAUGAACUUGUACAAGUAUUUAUUUUGAAAGUAAAAAAAAGAAACUUAGAAUUUCUAUUAACUU
This 68-nucleotide transfer RNA is filed under the name Hylobitelus xiaoi. RNAcentral describes it as "tRNA-Ser". Lineage: Eukaryota; Metazoa; Arthropoda; Insecta; Coleoptera; Curculionidae. The record is from RNAcentral.